UUCCUUCAUUGGGCUCAGGGACCUUUUGU
RNAcentral lists this non-coding RNA (29 nucleotides) under Mus musculus (house mouse). Lineage: Eukaryota; Metazoa; Chordata; Mammalia; Rodentia; Muridae. The record is from RNAcentral.